This 72-nucleotide transfer RNA is filed under the name Candidatus Woesearchaeota archaeon. RNAcentral describes it as "tRNA-Thr". It matches the Rfam family "tRNA". Rfam says of the family: Transfer RNA (tRNA) molecules are approximately 80 nucleotides in length. Their secondary structure includes four short double-helical elements and three loops (D, anti-codon, and T loops). Further hydrogen bonds mediate the characteristic L-shaped molecular structure. tRNAs have two regions of fundamental functional importance: the anti-codon, which is responsible for specific mRNA codon recognition, and the 3' end, to which the tRNAs corresponding amino acid is attached (by aminoacyl-tRNA synthetases). tRNAs cope with the degeneracy of the genetic code in two manners: having more than one tRNA (with a specific anti-codon) for a particular amino acid; and 'wobble' base-pairing, i.e. permitting non-standard base-pairing at the 3rd anti-codon position. The record is from RNAcentral. Lineage: Archaea; Nanobdellati; Candidatus Woesearchaeota.
GCCUCUGUAGCUCAGUGGUGGAGCGUACGCUUGGUAAGCGUAAGGUCGCGAGUUCAAUUCUCGCCAGAGGCU